GCUGUUGAAAAAGCAUGGGAUGAGCUGUGGAUAGCGGAGAAAUUCCAAUCGAACCCGGAGAUAGCUGGUUCUCUCCGAAAUAGCUUUAGGGCUAGCGUCGAGUAUGAGUAGUGGAGGUAGAGCACUGAAUGGGCUAGGGGGCAUAGCGCUUACCGAACCUUAUCAAACUCCGAAUGCCACAUACUUUGAGCUCGGCAGUCAGACUACGAAUGAUAAGAUCCGUGGUCAAAAGGGAAACAGCCAAGAUCGUCAGCUAAGGUCCCAAAGUGUAAGUUAAGUGGGAAAGGAUGUGAGAUUUCUAAGACAACUAGGAUGUUGGCUUAGAAGCAGCCAUUCAUUAAAAGAGUGCGUAAUAGCUCACUAGUCGAGAGAUCUUGCGCCGAAAAUGUAACGGGGCGAAACUUACCACCGAAGCUACGGGCUUGAACUUAGUUCAAGCGGUAGGAGAGCGUCGUAACCGGGCUGAAGUCGUACCGUAAGGAGCGGUGGACUGGUUACGAGUGAGAAUGUUGGCAUCAGUAGCGAGAUGUGGGUGAGAAUCCCACAGGCCGAAAACCUAAGGUUUCCUCAGGAAGGUUCGUCCGCUGAGGGUUAGUCGGGACCUAAGCCGAGGCCGAAAGGCGUAGGUGAUGGACAACUGGUUGAUAUUCCAGUACCACUAC
RNAcentral lists this ribosomal RNA (662 nucleotides) under Clostridium perfringens. Its description in RNAcentral is "bacterial LSU rRNA". It matches the Rfam family "Bacterial large subunit ribosomal RNA", at positions 785 to 1450 of the family's 2925-position model. The record is from RNAcentral. Lineage: Bacteria; Bacillati; Bacillota; Clostridia; Eubacteriales; Clostridiaceae.